UACGUAGGUGGCAAGCGUUGUCCGGAUUUACUGGGCGUAAAGGGCGUGCAGGCGGUCUGUUAAGUGCAGGGUGAAAGCUCCCGGCUCAACUGGGAGAGGUCCUUGCAUACUGGCGGACUUGAGGGGGGUAGAGGAAAGUGGAAUUCCCGGUGUAGUGGUGAUAUGCGUAGAUAUCGGGAGGAACACCUGUGGCGAAGGCGGCUUUCCGGGCCCUACCUGGACGCUG
This 226-nucleotide ribosomal RNA is filed under the name uncultured bacterium. Its description in RNAcentral is "partial 16S ribosomal RNA". It matches the Rfam family "Bacterial small subunit ribosomal RNA", at positions 524 to 748 of the family's 1533-position model. The record is from RNAcentral.